RNAcentral lists this ribosomal RNA (501 nucleotides) under uncultured bacterium. RNAcentral describes it as "partial 16S ribosomal RNA". It matches the Rfam family "Bacterial small subunit ribosomal RNA", at positions 30 to 523 of the family's 1533-position model. The record is from RNAcentral.
AUUGAACGCUGGCGGCAAGCUUAACACAUGCAAGUCGAGCGGGGGAAGGUAGCUUGCUACCGGACCUAGCGGCGGACGGGUGAGUAAUGCUUAGGAAUCUGCCUAUUAGUGGGGGACAACAUCUCGAAAGGGAUGCUAAUACCGCAUACGUCCUACGGGAGAAAGCAGGGGAUCUUCGGACCUUGCGCUAAUAGAUGAGCCUAAGUCGGAUUAGCUAGUUGGUGGGGUAAAGGCCUACCAAGGCGACGAUCUGUAGCGGGUCUGAGAGGAUGAUACGCCACACUGGGGCUGAGACACGGCCCAGACUCCUACGGGAGGCAGCAGUGGGGAAUAUUGGACAAUGGGGGGAACCCUGAUCCAGCCAUGCCGCGUGUGUGAAGAAGGCCUUAUGGUUGUAAAGCACUUUAAGCGAGGAGGAGGCUACUUUAGUUAAUACCUAGAGAUAGUGGACGUUACUCGCAGAAUAAGCACCGGCUAACUCUGUGCCAGCCGCCGCCGUAA